AUUGAACGCUGGCGGCAGGCUUAACACAUGCAAGUCGAGCGGGGGAAGGUAGCUUGCUCCCGGACCUAGCGGCGGACGGGUGAGUAAUGCUUAGGAAUCUGCCUAUUAGUGGGGGACAACAUCUCGAAAGGGAUGCUAAUACCGCAUACGUCCUACGGGAGAAAGCAGGGGAUCUUCGGACCUUGCGCUAAUAGAUGAGCCUAAGUCGGAUUAGCUAGUUGGUGGGGUAAAGGCCUACCAAGGCGACGAUCUGUAGCGGGUCUGAGAGGAUGAUCCGCCACACUGGGACUGAGACACGGCCCAGACUCCUACGGGAGGCAGCAGUGGGGAAUAUUGGACAAUGGGGGGAACCCUGAUCCAGCCAUGCCGCGUGGGUGAAGAAGGCCUUAUGGUUGUAAAGCACUUUAAGCGAGGAGGAGGCUACUUUAGUUAAUACCUAGAGAUAGUGGACGUUACUCGCAGAAUAAGCACCGGCUAACUCUGUG
This 485-nucleotide ribosomal RNA is filed under the name uncultured bacterium. RNAcentral describes it as "partial 16S ribosomal RNA". It matches the Rfam family "Bacterial small subunit ribosomal RNA", at positions 30 to 507 of the family's 1533-position model. The record is from RNAcentral.